RNAcentral lists this ribosomal RNA (899 nucleotides) under uncultured bacterium. RNAcentral's name for it is "bacterial SSU rRNA". It matches the Rfam family "Bacterial small subunit ribosomal RNA", at positions 9 to 903 of the family's 1533-position model. The record is from RNAcentral.
GAGUUUGAUCCUGGCUCAGGAUGAACGCUAGCGGGAGGCUUACACAUGCAAGUCGAGGGGCAGCAUAGGGUAGCAAUACUCUGAUGGCGACCGGCAAACGGGUGAGUAACGCGUAUGUAACCUACCCUGUACAGGGGGAUAACCCGGAGAAAUUCGGACUAAUAUCCCAUAACAAUAUCCGGGGGCAUCUUUGGAUAUUUAAAGUUCCGGCGGUACGGGAUGGGCAUGCGUAACAUUAGCUAGUUGGUAAGGUAACGGCUUACCAAGGCUUUGAUGUUUAGGGGUCCUGAGAGGGUGGUCCCCCACACUGGUACUGAGACACGGACCAGACUCCUACGGGAGGCAGCAGUGAGGAAUAUUGGUCAAUGGGCGCAAGCCUGAACCAGCCAUCCCGCGUGCAGGAAGACGGCGCUAUGCGUUGUAAACUGCUUUUCCAGGGAGAGAAACUUGCGCACGUGUUGCGCAAUUGACGGUACCCUGGGAAUAAGCAUCGGCUAACUCCGUGCCAGCAGCCGCGGUAAUACGGAGGAUGCGAGCGUUAUCCGGAUUCAUUGGGUUUAAAGGGUGCGUAGGCGGACUAUUAAGUCAGUGGUGAAAUCCUGCAGCUUAACUGCAGAACUGCCAUUGAUACUGAUAGCCUUGAGUUUGGUUAAGGUAGGCGGAAUGUGUAAUGUAGCGGUGAAAUGCUUAGAUAUUACACAGAACACCAAUUGCGUAGGCAGCUUACCGAGCCGCCACUGACGCUGAGGCACGAAAGCGUGGGGAUCGAACAGGAUUAGAUACCCUGGUAGUCCACGCCGUAAACGAUGAUUACUCGCUGUUGGCGAUACACUGUCAGCGGCUAAGCAAAGGCAAUAAGUAAUCCACCUGGGGGAGUACGGCCGCAAGGUUGAAACUCA